GACAUGUACGGAAUCCUUCAGAGAUGAGGGAGUGCUCGAAAGAGAGCCGUAACACAGGUGCUGCAUGGCUGUCGUCAGCUCGUGUCGUGAGAUGUUGGGUUAAGUCCCGCAACGAGCGCAACCCUUGCCAUUAGUUGCUACGAAAGGGCACUCUAAUGGGACUGCCGGUGACAAACCGGAGGAAGGUGGGGAUGACGUCAAGUCCUCAUGGCCCUUAUAGGUGGGGCUACACACGUCAUACAAUGGCUGGUACAGAGGGUUGCCAACCCGCGAGGGGGAGCCAAUCCCAUAAAGCCAGUCGUAGUCCGGAUCGCAGUCUGCAACUCGACUGCGUGAAGUCGGAAUCGCUAGUAAUCGCGGAUCAGAAUGUCGCGGUGAAUACGUUCCCGGGUCUUGUACACACCGCCCGUCACACCAUGGGAGCGGGUCUCGCCAGAAGUAGGUAGCCUAACCGCAAGGAGGGCGCUUACCACGGCGGGGUUCGUGACUGGGGUGAAGUCGUAACAAGGUAAGCGUAGUGCU
This 522-nucleotide ribosomal RNA is filed under the name uncultured bacterium. RNAcentral describes it as "bacterial SSU rRNA". It matches the Rfam family "Bacterial small subunit ribosomal RNA", at positions 983 to 1509 of the family's 1533-position model. The record is from RNAcentral.